AAAGAAAUAAGUGAAGAGAAGAAAGAUGAAACAUAGCUUUUUUACAACUAAAUUUGCUACUAUGAUCUUAGUGCUGACUGAUAAAUCGAUCUUCAAGUCAAUUCUUCUUCCUACGUAUGUAUCUCCCACCAGGAGUAAACCUAGGAUAUGGAUGAACAGUGGCUAGUUCAAGAAUUCGGUGUACCACAGUCUUAGGUAAAGGACGCAUGGCAUGCUUCAGCUUUUGUUCAACCUCUUUCUUGUUCUGUUUCAGUUUCUGCUUCUGCACAGAGCUAGCUCUUAGAAGAUUUCUCCAUUUAUCCCUCAAAUCUACAGGCGUGCGAUAAGCAGUCGAUGAAAACAAAAGCUUCUUUAUAUCAGU
RNAcentral lists this unclassified non-coding RNA (361 nucleotides) under Hevea brasiliensis (rubber tree). The record is from RNAcentral. Lineage: Eukaryota; Viridiplantae; Streptophyta; Magnoliopsida; Malpighiales; Euphorbiaceae.